AGAAUAUGUUGAAGAUUUCAUCCCUUGCCAAAGAGGAGGAGAAGGUAUACAUUUUCUGUGAUUUGAUUGUGCUAGACUGGAGAUCCAGAUGGCCACAGGCAUCUGAAAUGAUACAUUAUUCCUUUCCCUGCAGGUGCUUCUAACUACUAAGGCAGCAGCAGGUAUGAACUCAGAUGGACACUAGGUUUGUGGGUUUUUUCACAGAGGCAACACAACGUGCUCAUGACUAGUGGUGACGCUCAGCAAAUUUAUGUUGAAAUGUAGCUUGUUUUCAAUAAUGAAAAAAUGCCUGCAGCAGUUGCUCAUGAAUUAUUGGAUUCCAGAGCAAAGUUUCUCUCCUUUACCUGCGUUGGUAGCCAUGGAAAUGGUUUCAUAAAUGAUGCCAACUUCCUACAGUCCAGGGAGGUGUCAGUAUCAGCGUGUCCACUAGCCAUUGAAACCGGACAUAGUCGCCAAAUGAGAUUAUUCUGUGAUGAAUAUGGAAGUCUCAGCUGCCUUAUCAAUGGAUCUACUUUCUUAAAGGGGAGAGAGAAGAGUGCUCCUUUGGAAGAAAAGGACCAAAGACUGUGACAUGUAUAACAUUUUAAUCAGCAGUGAAAUGAAAGAAGAGCAUCAGACACAAAUGUCAAGAAAUUUUGACUAGUGUAUUACAGAUGGAGACAGAUGGAAAGACAGACGUACACUAUUCUUUCCAAGAAAAUGAUGCGGAAAAGCAGGAAGUAUUAAAAAAUUCUGGCAC
Molecule: long non-coding RNA, 739 nt
Filed under: Fukomys damarensis (Damara mole-rat)
Lineage: Eukaryota; Metazoa; Chordata; Mammalia; Rodentia; Bathyergidae
Description: lncRNA (ENSFDAG00000029130.1)
Source: RNAcentral